UCCUCGAUGGUCUAACGGUCAUGAUUUCCGCUUGUCACUCCAACGAGAACGAGCGCGGGAGACCAGGGUUCGACUCCCUGUCGGGGAG
Molecule: transfer RNA, 88 nt
Organism: Aspergillus fumigatus Af293
Lineage: Eukaryota; Fungi; Ascomycota; Eurotiomycetes; Eurotiales; Aspergillaceae
Rfam family: tRNA
About the family: Transfer RNA (tRNA) molecules are approximately 80 nucleotides in length. Their secondary structure includes four short double-helical elements and three loops (D, anti-codon, and T loops). Further hydrogen bonds mediate the characteristic L-shaped molecular structure. tRNAs have two regions of fundamental functional importance: the anti-codon, which is responsible for specific mRNA codon recognition, and the 3' end, to which the tRNAs corresponding amino acid is attached (by aminoacyl-tRNA synthetases). tRNAs cope with the degeneracy of the genetic code in two manners: having more than one tRNA (with a specific anti-codon) for a particular amino acid; and 'wobble' base-pairing, i.e. permitting non-standard base-pairing at the 3rd anti-codon position.
Source: Rfam